RNAcentral lists this ribosomal RNA (253 nucleotides) under uncultured bacterium. RNAcentral's name for it is "partial 16S ribosomal RNA". It matches the Rfam family "Bacterial small subunit ribosomal RNA", at positions 524 to 776 of the family's 1533-position model. The record is from RNAcentral.
UACGUAGGGUGCGAGCGUUAAUCGGAAUUACUGGGCGUAAAGCGUGCGCAGGCGGUUCGUUGUGUCCGGUGUGAAAGCCCCGAGCUUAACUUGGGAAUGGCAUUGGAAACUGGCGAGCUGGAGUGUGGCAGAGGGGGGUGGAAUUCCACGUGUAGCAGUGAAAUGCGUAGAUAUCGUGAGGAACACCAGAGGCGAAGGCGGCUACCUGGACAAUUGCUGACGCUCAGGCACGAAAGCGUGGGGAGCAAAAGGG